RNAcentral lists this ribosomal RNA (1168 nucleotides) under uncultured Bacteroides sp. Its description in RNAcentral is "bacterial SSU rRNA". It matches the Rfam family "Bacterial small subunit ribosomal RNA", at positions 10 to 1177 of the family's 1533-position model. Lineage: Bacteria; Pseudomonadati; Bacteroidota; Bacteroidia; Bacteroidales; Bacteroidaceae. The record is from RNAcentral.
AGUUUGAUCCUGGCUCAGGAUGAACGCUAGCUACAGGCUUAACACAUGCAAGUCGAGGGGCAGCAUUGGAGUAGCAAUACUUCAGAUGGCGACCGGCGCACGGGUGAGUAACACGUAUCCAACCUGCCGCUUACUCGGGGAUAGCCUUUCGAAAGAAAGAUUAAUACCCGAUGGUAUAAAGAGUUCGCAUGUUCUCUUUAUUAAAGAAUUUCGGUAAGCGAUGGGGAUGCGUUCCAUUAGAUAGUUGGCGGGGUAACGGCCCACCAAGUCUACGAUGGAUAGGGGUUCUGAGAGGAAGGUCCCCCACAUUGGAACUGAGACACGGUCCAAAUCCUACGGGAGGCAGCAGUGAGGAAUAUUGGUCAAUGGACGCGAGUCUGAACCAGCCAAGUAGCGUGAAGGAUGACUGCCCUAUGGGUUGUAAACUUCUUUUAUAAGGGAAUAAAGUGAGGGACGUGUCCCUUUUUGUAUGUACCUUAUGAAUAAGGAUCGGCUAACUCCGUGCCAGCAGCCGCGGUAAUACGGAGGAUCCAAGCGUUAUCCGGAUUUAUUGGGUUUAAAGGGAGCGUAGGUUGACAUAUAAGUCAGCUGUGAAAGUUUACGGCUCAACCGUGAAAUUGCAGUUGAUACUGUAUGUCUUGAGUGUACAAGAGGUGGGCGGAAUUCGUGGUGUAGCGGUGAAAUGCUUAGAUAUCACGAAGAACUCCAAUUGCGAAGGCAGCUCACUGGGGUACAACUGACACUGAGGCUCGAAAGUGUGGGUAUCAAACAGGAUUAGAUACCCUGGUAGUCCACACAGUAAACGAUGAAUACUCGCUGUUUGCGAUGUACAGUAAGCGGCCAAGCGAAAGCAUUAAGUAUUCCACCUGGGGAGUACGCCGGCAACGGUGAAACUCAAAGGAAUUGACGGGGGCCCGCACAAGCGGAGGAACAUGUGGUUUAAUUCGAUGAUACGCGAGGAACCUUACCCGGGCUUGAAUUGCAGAGGAACAUAGUUGAAAGAUUAUGGCCGCAAGGUCUCUGUGAAGGUGCUGCAUGGUUGUCGUCAGCUCGUGCCGUGAGGUGUCGGCUUAAGUGCCAUAACGAGCGCAACCCUUAUCAUUAGUUACUAACAGGUCAUGCUGAGGACUCUAGUGAGACUGCCGUCGUAAGAUGUGAGGAAGGUGGA